RNAcentral lists this ribosomal RNA (1737 nucleotides) under Salmonella enterica. RNAcentral describes it as "bacterial LSU rRNA". It matches the Rfam family "Bacterial large subunit ribosomal RNA", at positions 1223 to 2925 of the family's 2925-position model. The record is from RNAcentral. Lineage: Bacteria; Pseudomonadati; Pseudomonadota; Gammaproteobacteria; Enterobacterales; Enterobacteriaceae.
GUUGGGUAGGGGAGCGUUCUGUAAGCCUGUGAAGGUGGCCUGUGAGGGUUGCUGGAGGUAUCAGAAGUGCGAAUGCUGACAUAAGUAACGAUAAAGCGGGUGAAAAGCCCGCUCGCCGGAAGACCAAGGGUUCCUGUCCAACGUUAAUCGGGGCAGGGUGAGUCGACCCCUAAGGCGAGGCCGAAAGGCGUAGUCGAUGGGAAACGGGUUAAUAUUCCCGUACUUGGUGUUACUGCGAAGGGGGGACGGAGAAGGCUAUGUUGGCCGGGCGACGGUUGUCCCGGUUUAAGCGUGUAGGUGUGUGUUCCAGGUAAAUCCGGUUCACUUUAACACUGAGGCGUGAUGACGAGGCACUACGGUGCUGAAGCAACAAAUGCCCUGCUUCCAGGAAAAGCCUCUAAGCAUCAGGUAACAUCAAAUCGUACCCCAAACCGACACAGGUGGUCAGGUAGAGAAUACCAAGGCGCUUGAGAGAACUCGGGUGAAGGAACUAGGCAAAAUGGUGCCGUAACUUCGGGAGAAGGCACGCUGACAUGUAGGUGAAGUGAUUUACUCACGGAGCUGAAGUCAGUCGAAGAUACCAGCUGGCUGCAACUGUUUAUUAAAAACACAGCACUGUGCAAACACGAAAGUGGACGUAUACGGUGUGACGCCUGCCCGGUGCCGGAAGGUUAAUUGAUGGGGUCAGCGCAAGCGAAGCUCCUGAUCGAAGCCCCGGUAAACGGCGGCCGUAACUAUAACGGUCCUAAGGUAGCGAAAUUCCUUGUCGGGUAAGUUCCGACCUGCACGAAUGGCGUAAUGAUGGCCAGGCUGUCUCCACCCGAGACUCAGUGAAAUUGAACUCGCUGUGAAGAUGCAGUGUACCCGCGGCAAGACGGAAAGACCCCGUGAACCUUUACUAUAGCUUGACACUGAACAUUGAGCCUUGAUGUGUAGGAUAGGUGGGAGGCUUUGAAGUGUGGACGCCAGUCUGCAUGGAGCCGACCUUGAAAUACCACCCUUUAAUGUUUGAUGUUCUAACGUGGACCCGUUACCCGGGUUGCGGACAGUGUCUGGUGGGUAGUUUGACUGGGGCGGUCUCCUCCUAAAGAGUAACGGAGGAGCACGAAGGUUGGCUAAUCCUGGUCGGACAUCAGGAGGUUAGUGCAAUGGCAUAAGCCAGCUUGACUGCGAGCGUGACGGCGCGAGCAGGUGCGAAAGCAGGUCAUAGUGAUCCGGUGGUUCUGAAUGGAAGGGCCAUCGCUCAACGGAUAAAAGGUACUCCGGGGAUAACAGGCUGAUACCGCCCAAGAGUUCAUAUCGACGGCGGUGUUUGGCACCUCGAUGUCGGCUCAUCACAUCCUGGGGCUGAAGUAGGUCCCAAGGGUAUGGCUGUUCGCCAUUUAAAGUGGUACGCGAGCUGGGUUUAGAACGUCGUGAGACAGUUCGGUCCCUAUCUGCCGUGGGCGCUGGAGAACUGAGGGGGGCUGCUCCUAGUACGAGAGGACCGGAGUGGACGCAUCACUGGUGUUCGGGUUGUCAUGCCAAUGGCACUGCCCGGUAGCUAAAUGCGGAAGAGAUAAGUGCUGAAAGCAUCUAAGCACGAAACUUGCCCCGAGAUGAGUUCUCCCUGAGACUUAGAGUCUCCUGAAGGAACGUUGAAGACGACGACGUUGAUAGGCCGGGUGUGUAAGCGCAGCGAUGCGUUGAGCUAACCGGUACUAAUGAACCGUGAGGCUUAACCUUACAACGCCGAAG